ACUACGGGAGGCUGCAGUGGGGAAUAUUGCACAAUGGGGGAAACCCUGAUGCAGCGACGCCGCGUGAGCGAAGAAGUAUGUCGGUAUGUAAAGCUCUAUCGGCAGGGAAGAAAAUGACGGUACCUGAGUAAGAAGCUCCGGCUAAAUACGUGCCAGCAGCCGCGGGAAUACAUAUGAAGCAAUCGUUAUCCGGAUUUACUGGGGUGAAAGGGAGCGUAGGCGGCCUGCCAAGUCUGAUGGGAAAUGCCGGGGCUCAACCCCGGGGCUGCAUUGGAAACUGGCAGGCUGGAGUGCCGGAGAGACAGGCGGAAUUCCUAGUGUAGCGGUGAAAUGCGUAGAUAUUAGGAGGAACACCAGUGGCGAAGGCGGCCUGCUGGACGGUGACUGACGCUGAGGCUCGAAAGCGUGGGGAGCAAACAGGAUUAGAUCCCCGUGUAGUC
This 440-nucleotide ribosomal RNA is filed under the name uncultured bacterium. RNAcentral's name for it is "partial 16S ribosomal RNA". It matches the Rfam family "Bacterial small subunit ribosomal RNA", at positions 338 to 795 of the family's 1533-position model. The record is from RNAcentral.